RNAcentral lists this ribosomal RNA (253 nucleotides) under uncultured bacterium. Its description in RNAcentral is "partial 16S ribosomal RNA". It matches the Rfam family "Bacterial small subunit ribosomal RNA", at positions 524 to 776 of the family's 1533-position model. The record is from RNAcentral.
UACAGAGACUGCAAGCGUUAUUCGGAUUCACUGGGCGUAAAGGGUGCGCAGGCGGCCAAGUGUGUGAGGCGUGAAAGCCCGGGGCUUAACCCCGGAAUUGCACCUCAAACUACAUGGCUAGAGCAUUGGAGAGGGUAGCAGAAUUCAUGGUGUAGCAGUGAAAUGCGUAGAUAUCAUGAGGAAUACCAGUGGCGAAGGCGGCACUCUGGGCCGGUACUGACGCUGAGGAGCGAAAGCGUGGGGAGCGAACAGG